GACGAACGCUGGCGGCGUGCUUAACACAUGCAAGUCGAACGGAAAGGCCCUGCUUUUGUGGGGUGCUCGAGUGGCGAACGGGUGCGUAACACGUGAGUAACCUGCCCUUGACUUUGGGAUAACUUCAGGAAACUGGGGCUAAUACCGGAUAGGAGCUCCUGCUGCAUGGUGGGGGUUGGAAAGUUUCGGCGGUUGGGGAUGGACUCGCGGCUUAUCAGCUUGUUGGUGGGGUAGUGGCUUACCAAGGCUUUGACGGGUAGCCGGCCUGAGAGGGUGACCGGCCACAAUGGGACUGAGAUACGGACCAGACUCCUACGGGAGGCAGCAGGGGGGAAUAUUGCACAAUGGGCGGAAGCCUGAUGCAGCAACGCCGCGUGCGGGAUGACGGCCUUCGGGUUGUAAACCGCUUUCGCCUGUGACGAAGCGUGAGUGACGGUAAUGGGUAAAGAAGCACCGGCUAACUACGUG
This 468-nucleotide ribosomal RNA is filed under the name uncultured bacterium. RNAcentral describes it as "partial 16S ribosomal RNA". It matches the Rfam family "Bacterial small subunit ribosomal RNA", at positions 28 to 507 of the family's 1533-position model. The record is from RNAcentral.